Molecule: ribosomal RNA, 400 nt
Filed under: uncultured bacterium
Lineage: Bacteria
Description: bacterial SSU rRNA
Rfam family: Bacterial small subunit ribosomal RNA
Source: RNAcentral
GGGGAAUCUUGGACAAUGGGGGCAACCCUGAUCCAGCGAUGCCGCGUGAAUGAAGAAGGCCCUUGGGUUGUAAAGUUCUUUCACCUGUGACGAUAAUGACGGUAACAGGAGAAGAAGCCCCGGCUAACUCCGUGCCAGCAGCCGCGGUAAGACGGAGGGGGCUAGCGUUGUUCGGAAUGACUGGGCGUAAAGGGCGCGUAGGCGGUUGAUUAAGUGAGACGUGAAAGCCUCGGGCUUAACCUGAGAACGGCGUUUGAUACUGGUGGACUUGAGGACGAGAGAGGAAAGUGGAAUUCCGAGUGUAGAGGUGAAAUUCGUAGAUAUUCGGAGGAACAUCAGAAGCGAAGGCGGCUUUCUGGCUCGUCCCUGACGCUGAGGCGCGAAAGCGUGGGGAGCAAAC